This 270-nucleotide ribosomal RNA is filed under the name uncultured bacterium. RNAcentral describes it as "partial 16S ribosomal RNA". It matches the Rfam family "Bacterial small subunit ribosomal RNA", at positions 88 to 354 of the family's 1533-position model. The record is from RNAcentral.
CCGGCGACCGGCGCACGGGUGAGUAACACGUAUGCAACCUGGCCGUGACAGAUGGAUAACCGGGAGAAAUCCCGCCUAAUACAACAUAAUGCCGGGAGGGGACAUCCCCUGCCGGUCAAAGGGGGCGACCCCGGUCAUGGAUGGGCAUGCGGCGCAUUAGGUAGUUGGUGGGGCAACGGCCCACCAAGCCGACGAUGCGUAGGGGUUCUGAGAGGAAGGUCCCCCACAUUGGAACUGAGACACGGACCAGACUCCUACGGGAGGCAGCAG